GCCUCUGUAGCGCAAUGUUUAGAGCGUUGGACUUCUAAUCCAAAGGUCAUGGGUUCGAAUCCUACCUGGGACG
Molecule: transfer RNA, 73 nt
Filed under: Trichonephila inaurata madagascariensis
Lineage: Eukaryota; Metazoa; Arthropoda; Arachnida; Araneae; Nephilidae
Rfam family: tRNA
About the family: Transfer RNA (tRNA) molecules are approximately 80 nucleotides in length. Their secondary structure includes four short double-helical elements and three loops (D, anti-codon, and T loops). Further hydrogen bonds mediate the characteristic L-shaped molecular structure. tRNAs have two regions of fundamental functional importance: the anti-codon, which is responsible for specific mRNA codon recognition, and the 3' end, to which the tRNAs corresponding amino acid is attached (by aminoacyl-tRNA synthetases). tRNAs cope with the degeneracy of the genetic code in two manners: having more than one tRNA (with a specific anti-codon) for a particular amino acid; and 'wobble' base-pairing, i.e. permitting non-standard base-pairing at the 3rd anti-codon position.
Source: Rfam by way of RNAcentral